GGUAAGAUGGCCGAGAGUCUAGGCGGUGGGCUGUAGUCCCAUAGACAGAGGUUUAAGUCCUUUUCUUAUCA
RNAcentral lists this transfer RNA (71 nucleotides) under Gymnothorax undulatus (undulated moray). RNAcentral's name for it is "tRNA-Tyr". It matches the Rfam family "tRNA". From Rfam's summary of the family: Transfer RNA (tRNA) molecules are approximately 80 nucleotides in length. Their secondary structure includes four short double-helical elements and three loops (D, anti-codon, and T loops). Lineage: Eukaryota; Metazoa; Chordata; Actinopteri; Anguilliformes; Muraenidae. The record is from RNAcentral.